RNAcentral lists this ribosomal RNA (425 nucleotides) under uncultured bacterium. Its description in RNAcentral is "bacterial SSU rRNA". It matches the Rfam family "Bacterial small subunit ribosomal RNA", at positions 355 to 772 of the family's 1533-position model. The record is from RNAcentral.
UGGGGAAUUUUGCGCAAUGGGCGAAAGCCUGACGCAGCGACGCCGCGUGGAGGAUGAAGGCCCUUGGGUUGUAAACUCCUGUCAGGUGGGAAGAAAGAUCUUCGGUAAACAGCCGAGGAUUCUGACUGUACCACCGGAGGAAGCCCCGGCUAACUCUGUGCCAGCAGCCGCGGUAAUACAGAGGGGGCAAGCGUUGUUCGGAAUUACUGGGCGUAAAGGGCGCGUAGGCGGCCUUCUAAGUCAGACGUGAAAUCCCCGGGCUCAACCCGGGAACUGCGUCUGAUACUGGAAGGCUUGAAUCCGGGAGAGGGAUGUGGAAUUCCAGGUGUAGCGGUGAAAUGCGUAGAUAUCUGGAGGAACACCGGUGGCGAAGGCGGCAUCCUGGACCGGUAUUGACGCUGAGGCGCGAAAGCCAGGGGAGCAAA